GACGACGCUGGCGGUGCGCCUAAUGCAUGCAAGUCGAACGGGCCCGAUUCGCUUCGGCUUAUCGGGGCAGUGGCAGACGGCUGAGUAACACGUAAGUGACCUGUCCCGAAGAGGGGGAUAAUCCCGAGAAAUCGGGCCUAAUACCCCGUAAGUUCCGGCGAUUACGGUCGUCGGUGGAAAGGUUCUUCCCGACUUGUCGGGGGGUUCCGCUUCGGGAGGGGCUUGCGGCCUAUCAGGUAGUCGGUGGGGUAAUGGCCUACCGAGCCGUGGACGGGUAGCCGGUGUGAGAGCAUGAUCGGCCAGAGGGGAACUGAGACACGGUCCCCACUCCUACGGGAGGCAGCAGCAGGGAAUUUUGCGCAAUGGGCGAAAGCCUGACGCAGCGACACCGCGUGGGGGAUGAAGGCCUUCGGGUUGUAAACCCCUUUUCUCGGGGAAGAGAGAGGACUGUACCCGAGGAAUAAGGUUCGGCUAACUACGUGCCAGCAGCCGCGGUAAUACGUAGGAACCGAGCGUUGUCCGGAUUUACUGGGCGUAAAGAGCGCGUAGGCGGCCCAUCAAGUCCCAUGUGAAAUCUCCCGGCUCAACUGGGAGGGGUCAUGGGAAACUGGCGGGCUAGAGGGCAGUAGAGGAAAGUGGAAUUCCCGGAGUAGUGGUGAAAUGCGUAGAUACCGGGAGGAACACCCGAGGCGAAGGCGGCUUUCUGGGCUGCACCUGACGCUGAGGCGCGAAAGCAUGGGGAGCAAACCGGAUUAGAUACCCGGGUAGUCCAUGCCCUAAAUGGUGGAUACUAGGUAUAGGGGGUAUCGACCCCUCCUGUGCCGUAGUUAACGCGUUAAGUAUCCCGCCUGGGGAGUACGGCCGCAAG
RNAcentral lists this ribosomal RNA (868 nucleotides) under Chloroflexi bacterium SCGC AAA240-C09. Its description in RNAcentral is "SSU rRNA". It matches the Rfam family "Bacterial small subunit ribosomal RNA", at positions 28 to 892 of the family's 1533-position model. The record is from RNAcentral. Lineage: Bacteria; Bacillati; Chloroflexota.